RNAcentral lists this ribosomal RNA (492 nucleotides) under uncultured bacterium. Its description in RNAcentral is "partial 16S ribosomal RNA". It matches the Rfam family "Bacterial small subunit ribosomal RNA", at positions 29 to 507 of the family's 1533-position model. The record is from RNAcentral.
AGUGAACGCUGGCGGUAGGCCUGACACAUGCAAGUCGAACGGCAGCACAGUAAGAGCUUGCUCUUACGGGUGGCGAGUGGCGGACGGGUGAGGAAUACAUCGGAAUCUACUUUUUCGUGGGGGAUAACGUAGGGAAACUUACGCUAAUACCGCAUACGACCUACGGGUGAAAGCAGGGGAUCUUCGGACCUUGCGCGAUUGAAUGAGCCGAUGUCGGAUUAGCUAGUUGGCGGGGUAAAGGCCCACCAAGGCGACGAUCCGUAGCUGGUCUGAGGGGAUGAUCAGCCAGACUGGAACUGAGACACGGUCCAGACUCCGACGGGAGGCAGCAGUGGGGAAUAUUGGACAAUGGGGGAAAGCCUGAUCCAGCCAUACCGCGUGGGUGAAGAAGGACUUCGGGUGGUAAAGCCCUUUUGUUGGGAAAGAAAAGCAGCAGGUUAAUACCCCGCUGUUCUGACGGUACCCAAAGAAUAAGCACCGGCUAACUUCGUG